Eucalyptus grandis is the source of this 1126-nucleotide long non-coding RNA. RefSeq lists it as uncharacterized. The record is from RefSeq and is a predicted model, not a curated record. Lineage: Eukaryota; Viridiplantae; Streptophyta; Magnoliopsida; Myrtales; Myrtaceae. The transcript has 2 exons.
UUUCGCCUUUUUGUUUUCUUUGGUCAGAUGCCGCAGCCUCUUCCUUACUAUAAGGGAACUUGGGCAGCUGAGUGCAGACAAAGCUGACGAUGCAACGCAAGAAAGCGCCAGCAAAUAGCAUGAAGGACUUCCCAUGAAGAGCUCCUAGCGCGCUGCAAUCGCCCCGUGCUUGAAGAAACCUCGUUCUCGGUAAGAAAAAAGGGGAGGCUAGGCGAAGUCGGAAGGUUAAUGGAGAACAAUAACCGUCCAGCUGAUCACGGUCGCUGGAGGUAAGCUGCCGCAACCUUGAAUAUAUCUUGAGCUCUGUAGCCCAGCUCCCUCAGUAAGUUGGAGGAUCCCGGGCAAACUCACGCCGGAUUCUUGAUAUUGCUUCCCGUUCCUGCCUCUGAUCAUGUCACACUGUAUUCCACUGCGUGAAUGCUGUUUCGCGGCGAAAAAAGCUGUGGGUGAAGUCGUCGCAGACCUCUGAGCUUGUACUGUUCACUUGCACCUGCGAGUCCCAUGGGGGUCUUCCACUUUCCUGUGGAAAAAAAAAGGGCUUUGUCUCUUGAAACGUGGAGCGGAGCAUGCUGAUCGAAUUGCUACAAUUAAUUUCCUGGAGAAGAUCCUGCUAAAGAUCUUGAUUGGUGCCAUCGGAAUCAUGGGUAUUCCAACCAUCACUAACCUUGAAACCAUCGUGUGCAUUUACGCAGUGCUCAUAAUCGUCGGGCAGUUAUUAAUCCUCAAGAUGGGAAGGCAAGAUAUGGACCCAAGGUUCCGACUUGCGUUUGCUCACAUCAUUGUUGUUAUCAGAUGUGUCAAGUGCUGUCUGCUGAUGUACAUUUUGCUUCGUGUCAUGCCUUGGUCGAUUUUCGUUCUCCACGUCCUUGAGUUGAUGAACCCACAAGCAUUCAUCGUGAAUUAGAAAAUUGUGACCGUUUUCGGUUUUCUUAAUAUUGUGGUUUACUCUUUGGGAAACUAGUAUUGAUGUGCAUCGUGCUUAUGUUAUCCUAGACAUGAACCUUUUGUUGUACUAUUAUUACUUUAGGGACAUGGACCUUGUGUUGUACUAUUAUUACCUUGAACAUCAUCCAUAUCGAAAAGCAUAAUAUGUGAUGUGAUGAAGAGAAUAGUACUGUUUAGUUAA